GCUAAACGAAAAAUAGAGUACAAAAAUGUCAGUCAUUUGCUUACCAUAGACUUUUUUUAUUAGAAUGGAAAGGCAAAGGCAUAGAUUUAGAAGGGCCCCGCGCGAAAGUAUUACCAUAGAGUCUAUGGUAAUCCAAAAGGAUUACCAAUCCCUUUGCCUUUCCAGACUUGGAUAUAUAUGGAGACAUCAAUAACAAUUUCAGCCAUGGCUUUAGCUGAAGGGGCUAAUGCAUCAUUCAAGUCUAGCACAUCUCUACUUGAAGUUACAUGACCUGCAGAUAACAACAUUCCAAUAGCACCUUCCAAUUCACAUAUUUUUUUACAAACUUCUAUUUCAUUUUUCACUUCCCUUUGUAACAAUGUAUAUAAAAGUAAAUUAGAUUCCGAAAA
This is a long non-coding RNA of Plodia interpunctella (Indianmeal moth), 389 nucleotides long. RefSeq lists it as uncharacterized. The transcript is spliced from 2 exons. Lineage: Eukaryota; Metazoa; Arthropoda; Insecta; Lepidoptera; Pyralidae. The record is from RefSeq and is a predicted model, not a curated record.